This is a long non-coding RNA of Sebastes umbrosus (honeycomb rockfish), 381 nucleotides long. RefSeq lists it as uncharacterized. NCBI's taxonomy places the organism in Eukaryota, Metazoa, Chordata, Actinopteri, Perciformes, Sebastidae. The record is from RefSeq and is a predicted model, not a curated record. The transcript is spliced from 2 exons.
CGCUGUCAUCAUCCAAUCACAGCGCUCCAACAAACCGCGGGAGAAUUAAACUAACCGGCGGUGAAGGAGGAGAAACGCCGGCUUUAUCCAGAUUUAUCCAGCUCUAUCUAAGGCCGACUGACUGGUCGACGGUACCUGUGUUUGUUUGUGACGGAUCCGCGGUAAAACCCGGAGCGGAGUAUUCAGGUGUAUCUCUCUUUCUGUGGCUGUGUACUGGGCUGGACUGGACUGGAAUAGACUGGACUGGAUUAGACUGCACUGGACUGGACUGUUUUGGGUUGUGGGUAAAACAAAGUGGACUCCCUGCAGAGUGGACUGAACUCUGAACUCUGAACUCUGAGGCUGUGGGACUAACACAUCAGAUUAAAUGCUCUUAUUAGA